Molecule: ribosomal RNA, 484 nt
Filed under: uncultured bacterium
Lineage: Bacteria
Description: partial 16S ribosomal RNA
Rfam family: Bacterial small subunit ribosomal RNA
Source: RNAcentral
AUUGAACGCUGGCGGCAGGCCUAACACAUGCAAGUCGAGCGGAUGAAGGGAGCUUGCUCCUGGAUUCAGCGGCGGACGGGUGAGUAAUGCCUAGGAAUCUGCCUGGUAGUGGGGGAUAACGUCCGGAAACGGGCGCUAAUACCGCAUACGUCCUGAGGGAGAAAGUGGGGGAUCUUCGGACCUCACGCUAUCAGAUGAGCCUAGGUCGGAUUAGCUAGUUGGUGGGGUAAAGGCCUACCAAGGCGACGAUCCGUAACUGGUCUGAGAGGAUGAUCAGUCACACUGGAACUGAGACACGGUCCAGACUCCUACGGGAGGCAGCAGUGGGGAAUAUUGGACAAUGGGCGAAAGCAUGAUCCAGCCAUGCCGCGUGUGUGAAGAAGGUCUUCGGAUUGUAAAGCACUUUAAGUUGGGAGGAAGGGCAGUAAGUUAAUACCUUGCUGUUUUGACGUUACCAACAGGAUAAGCACCGGCUAACUUCGUG